CACGUGAUGAUAUUAAAGAUAUAGUUGAAACGUCUUUGAAGGCAACAAGCAUAAUAGGUGGAAAGAAAGCAAGUCGUCAAGUAAAAUGGAUUACAUGUUCGUGUGCCAUACAAAGAGGAGGUACCGAAUGCGGAUAUUAUGUGAUGAAAUUUAUUUUGGAAAUCAUUUCAUUGGGAACAUGCUAGGGAAUGAAUAAGGCAAGUACUUUAAUAAAAUAUCUUUCGAUCUCCUUCAUAUUUUUUAAAAUACUAAGUUAUUAAUUC
This is a long non-coding RNA of Ipomoea triloba (trilobed morning glory), 263 nucleotides long. RefSeq lists it as uncharacterized. NCBI's taxonomy places the organism in Eukaryota, Viridiplantae, Streptophyta, Magnoliopsida, Solanales, Convolvulaceae. The record is from RefSeq and is a predicted model, not a curated record. The transcript has 3 exons.